This 408-nucleotide ribosomal RNA is filed under the name uncultured bacterium. RNAcentral's name for it is "partial 16S ribosomal RNA". It matches the Rfam family "Bacterial small subunit ribosomal RNA", at positions 28 to 526 of the family's 1533-position model. The record is from RNAcentral.
GACGAACGCUGGCGGCGUGCCUAAUACAUGCAAGUCGAACGCAGUGGCGGACGGGUGAGUAACACGUGGGUGACCUGCCCUGCACUUCGGGAUAAGCCUGGGACACUGGGUCUAAUACCGGAUAGUGUGGGAUGGGCCCGCGGCUUAUAGGCUUGGUGGUGGGGUAAUGGCCUACCAGGGCGGCGACGGGUAGCCGGCCUGGGAGGGUGUACGGGUACAUUGGGACUGCGAGACGGCCCAGACUCCUACGGGGGGCAGCAGUGGGGAAUAUUGCACAAUGGGCGGAAGCGUGAUGCAGCGCCGCCGGGUGGGUGAUGACGGCCUUCGGGUUGUAAACUCCUUUCACCAUCGACGCGGUAGAUGGAGAAGAAGCACCGGCUAACUACGUGCCAGCAGCCGCGGUAAUUC